ACGGCUACCUUGUUACGACUUAGCCCUAAUUACCGAUUUUACCCUAAACAGCUCCUUGCGGUUACUGUCUUCAGGUCUCCCCGACUUUCAUGGCUUGACGGGCGGUGUGUACAAGGUCCGGGAACGUAUUCACCGCAACAUUGCUGAUUUGCGAUUACUAGCGAUUCCAGCUUCAUGCAGGCGAGUUGCAGCCUGCAAUCCGAACUGAGACUCUCUUUUUGUGAUUGGCUUACUAUUGCUAGCUCGCAACACUUUGUAAGAGCCAUUG
This 268-nucleotide ribosomal RNA is filed under the name uncultured bacterium. Its description in RNAcentral is "partial 16S ribosomal RNA". The record is from RNAcentral.